RNAcentral lists this signal recognition particle RNA (97 nucleotides) under Gammaproteobacteria bacterium. RNAcentral's name for it is "signal recognition particle sRNA small type". It matches the Rfam family "Bacterial small signal recognition particle RNA". From Rfam's summary of the family: The signal recognition particle (SRP) is a universally conserved ribonucleoprotein involved in the co-translational targeting of proteins to membranes. Archaeal SRP consists of a 7S RNA and homologues of the eukaryotic SRP19 and SRP54 proteins. Lineage: Bacteria; Pseudomonadati; Pseudomonadota; Gammaproteobacteria. The record is from RNAcentral.
CUCUGGUUCCCUCGCGACGAUAAACUGUGAACUCCGCCAGGUCCGGAAGGAAGCAACGGUAACGGUGACCUCGGGUGCCGGGGUGUGGCUGGGGUGG